AACGAACGCUGGCGGCAGGCCUAACACAUGCAAGUCGAGCGAGCAUUUCGGUGCUAGCGGCGGACGGGUGAGUAACGCGUGGGAACGUGCCCUUUUCUGCGGAAUAGUCCUGGGAAACUGGGGGUAAUACCGCAUACGCCCUUUUGGGGAAAGAUUUAUCGGAGAAGGAUCGGCCCGCGUUGGAUCAGGUAGUUGGUGGGGUAAUGGCCCACCAAGCCGACGAUCCAUAGCUGGUUUGAGAGGAUGAUCAGCCACACUGGGACUGAGACACGGCCCAGACUCCUACGGGAGGCAGCAGUGGGGAAUCUUAGACAAUGGGGGCAACCCUGAUCUAGCCAUGCCGCGUGAGUGAUGAAGGCCUUAGGGUUGUAAAGCUCUUUCAGCUGGGAAGAUAAUGACGGUACCAGCAGAAGAAGCCCCGGCUAACUCCGUG
RNAcentral lists this ribosomal RNA (433 nucleotides) under uncultured bacterium. RNAcentral describes it as "partial 16S ribosomal RNA". It matches the Rfam family "Bacterial small subunit ribosomal RNA", at positions 29 to 507 of the family's 1533-position model. The record is from RNAcentral.